Long non-coding RNA from Vigna unguiculata (cowpea), 402 nucleotides. Lineage: Eukaryota; Viridiplantae; Streptophyta; Magnoliopsida; Fabales; Fabaceae. The record is from RefSeq and is a predicted model, not a curated record.
GAAACCAGCCGUCACCCCCUUGCUCUCACAGGACGCUCUGCUAGGAUUUCUCCCCAAGCUUUCUCGAACUAGCUUCGAACCAGUUCCUACUCCACCUCUUUAGUGCGUUCUGAGGGCUGCAGUGCUCGUGUCGUGUCGUCAAGGCUUCGGUUGACCGUGUUUCUAGAUGGGCGAGGUUCUCGUGGUCAGCAAGGGAGUGGAGAUUCCGCUGCUUAGCCAUCGGGGCUGGAUUUUAUUUUCCUGCAUGGUUUUCGUUAGGGCUAUGGCCCAUGUUUUGUUUUACGCCUUGCUACUCUUUUCCCUUUUGUUAGACUUGUAUCUAGUUUUCUGUUGGCAUCGUGGUGUGCCCAAGGUCGUGAGGGUUGUGUUAAAGACCCUAGAACUACGCUACAAUACUAUUAU